GAUGACGAACGUAGCGAAAUGCGAUAAGUAGUGUGAAUUGCAGAAUUCAGAGAAUCAUCGAAUCUUUGAACGCACAUUGCGCCCCUUGGUAUUCCAUGGGGCAUGCCUGUUCGAGCGUCAUUUGUACCUUCAAGCUUUGCUUGGUGUUGGGUGUUUGUCUCGCCUUUGCGUGUAGACUCGCCUUAAAAUAAUUGGCAGCCGGCGUAUUGAUUUCGGAGCGCAGUACAUCUCGCGCUUUGCACUCAUAACGACAGCGUCCAAAAGUACAUUUUACACUCUUGACCUCGGAUCAGGUAGGGAUACCCGCUGAACUUAAGCAUAUCAAUAAGCGGAGGA
Molecule: unclassified non-coding RNA, 336 nt
Filed under: soil metagenome
Description: partial contains 5.8S ribosomal RNA, internal transcribed spacer 2, and large subunit ribosomal RNA
Rfam family: 5.8S ribosomal RNA (bases 1-120)
Source: RNAcentral